RNAcentral lists this non-coding RNA (23 nucleotides) under Cricetulus griseus (Chinese hamster). Lineage: Eukaryota; Metazoa; Chordata; Mammalia; Rodentia; Cricetidae. The record is from RNAcentral.
AGAAGGCAAAGGACUGACUGAAA